Molecule: ribosomal RNA, 495 nt
Filed under: uncultured bacterium
Lineage: Bacteria
Description: partial 16S ribosomal RNA
Rfam family: Bacterial small subunit ribosomal RNA
Source: RNAcentral
GACGAACGCUGGCGGCGUGCCUAAUACAUGCAAGUAGAACGCUGAAGGAGGAGCUUGCUCUUCUGGAUGAGUUGCGAACGGGUGAGUAACGCGUAGGUAACCUGCCUGGUAGCGGGGGAUAACUAUUGGAAACGAUAGCUAAUACCGCAUAAGAGUAGAUGUUGCAUGACAUUUACUUAAAAGGUGCAAUUGCAUCACUACCAGAUGGACCUGCGUUGUAUUAGCUAGUUGGUGGGGUAACGGCUUACCAAGGCGACGAUACAUAGCCGACCUGAGAGGGGGAGCGGCCACACUGGGACUGAGACACGGCCCAGACUCCUACGGGAGGCAGCAGUAGGGAAUCUUCGGCAAUGGACGGAAGUCUGACCGAGCAACGCCGCGUGAGUGAAGAAGGUUUUCGGAUCGUAGAGCUCUGUUGUAAGAGAAGAACGAGUGUGAGAGUGGAAAGUUCACACUGUGACGGUAUCUUACCAGAAAGGGACGGCUAACUACGUG